Molecule: ribosomal RNA, 497 nt
Filed under: uncultured bacterium
Lineage: Bacteria
Description: partial 16S ribosomal RNA
Rfam family: Bacterial small subunit ribosomal RNA
Source: RNAcentral
GAUGAACGCUGGCGGCGUGCCUAAUACAUGCAAGUCGAGCGAACGGACGCGAAGCUUGCUUCUCUGAUGUUAGCGGCGGGCGGGUGAGUAACACGUGGAUAACCCACCUAUAAGACUGGGAAAACUUCGGGAAACCGGAGCUAAUACCGGAUAAUAUUUUGAACCACAUGGUUCGAAAGUGAGUGACGGUCGUGCUGUCACUUAUAGAUGGAUCCGCGCUGCAUUAGCUAGUUGGUAAGGUAACGGCUUACCAAGGCAACGAUGGCUAGGCGACCUGUGAGGGGGUUCGGCCACACUGGAACUGAGACACGGUCCAGGCUCCUACGGGAGGCAGCAGUAUGGAAUCUUCCGCAAUGGGCGGAAGCCUGACGCAGCAGCGCCACGCGAGUGCUGACAGUCUUCGGAUCGUAAAACUCUGUUAUUGGUGAAGAACAUAUGUGUAAGUAACUGUGCACAUCUUGACGGUACCUAAUCAGAAAGCCACGGCUAACUACGUG